This 30-nucleotide ribosomal RNA is filed under the name Lobaria spathulata. Its description in RNAcentral is "partial 18S ribosomal RNA". The record is from RNAcentral. Lineage: Eukaryota; Fungi; Ascomycota; Lecanoromycetes; Peltigerales; Lobariaceae.
AUUCGGUUCGUAGGUGACCUGCGGAGGACA